GAUGAACGCUGGCGGCGUGCCUAAUACAUGCAAGUCGAGCGAACGGACGAGAAGCUUGCUUCUCUGAUGUUAGCGGCGGACGGGUGAGUAACACGUGGAUAACCUACCUAUAAGACUGGGAUAACUUCGGGAAACCGGAGCUAAUACCGGAUAAUAUUUUGAACCGCAUGGUUCAAAAGUGAAAGACGGUCUUGCUGUCACUUAUAGAUGGAUCCGCGCUGCAUUAGCUAGUUGGUAAGGUAACGGCUUACCAAGGCAACGAUGCAUAGCCGACCUGAGAGGGUGAUCGGCCACACUGGAACUGAGACACGGUCCAGACUCCUACGGGAGGCAGCAGUAGGGAAUCUUCCGCAAUGGGCGAAAGCCUGACGGAGCAACGCCGCGUGAGUGAUGAAGGUCUUCGGAUCGUAAAACUCUGUUAUUAGGGAAGAACAUAUGUGUAAGUAACUGUGCACAUCUUGACGGUACCUAAUCAGAAAGCCACGGCUAACUACGUGCCAGCAGCCGCGGUAAUACGUAGGUGGCAAGCGUUAUCCGGAAUUAUUGGGCGUAAAGCGCGCGUAGGCGGUUUUUUAAGUCUGAUGUGAAAGCCCACGGCUCAACCGUGGAGGGUCAUUGGAAACUGGAAAACUUGAGUGCAGAAGAGGAAAGUGGAAUUCCAUGUGUAGCGGUGAAAUGCGCAGAGAUAUGGAGGAACACCAGUGGCGAAGGUGACUUUCUGGUCUGUAACUGACGCUGAUGUGCGAAAGCGUGGGGAUCAAACAGGAUUAGAUACCCUGGUAGUCCACGCCGUAAACGAUGAGUGCUAAGUGUUAGGGGGUUUCCGCCCCUUAGUGCUGCAGCUAACGCAUUAAGCACUCCGCCUGGGGAGUACGACCGCAAGGUUGAAACUCAAAGGAAUUGACGGGGACCCGCACAAGCGGUGGAGCAUGUGGUUUAAUUCGAAGCAACGCGAAGAACCUUACCAAAUCUUGACAUCCUUUGACAACUCUAGAGAUAGAGCUUUCCCCUUCGGGGGACAAAGUGACAGGUGGUGCAUGGUUGUCGUCAGCUCGUGUCGUGAGAUGUUGGGUUAAGUCCCGCAACGAGCGCAACCCUUAAGCUUAGUUGCCAUCAUUAAGUUGGGCACUCUAAGUUGACUGCCGGUGACAAACCGGAGGAAGGUGGGGAUGACGUCAAAUCAUCAUGCCCCUUAUGAUUUGGGCUACACACGUGCUACAAUGGACAAUACAAAGGGCAGCGAAACCGUGAGGUCAAGCAAAUCCCAUAAAGUUGUUCUCAGUUCGGAUUGUAGUCUGCAACUCGACUACAUGAAGCUGGAAUCGCUAGUAAUCGUAGAUCAGCAUGCUACGGUGAAUACGUUCCCGGGUCU
This 1372-nucleotide ribosomal RNA is filed under the name uncultured bacterium. Its description in RNAcentral is "bacterial SSU rRNA". It matches the Rfam family "Bacterial small subunit ribosomal RNA", at positions 28 to 1381 of the family's 1533-position model. The record is from RNAcentral.